GACGAACGCUGGCGGCGCGCCUAACACAUGCAAGUCGAGUGGCGAACGGGUGAGUAACGCGUGAGGAACCUGCCUCAAAGAGGGGGACAACAGUUGGAAACGACUGCUAAUACCGCAUAAGCCCACGGGUCGGCAUCGACCAGAGGGAAAAGGAGCAAUCCGCUUUGAGAUGGCCUCGCGUCCGAUUAGCUAGUUGGUGAGGUAAUGGCCCACCAAGGCGACGAUCGGUAGCCGGACUGAGAGGUUGAACGGCCACAUUGGGACUGAGACACGGCCCAGACUCCUACGGGAGGCAGCAGUGGGGAAUAUUGCACAAUGGGGGAAACCCUGAUGCAGCGACGCCGCGUGGAGGAAGAAGGUCUUCGGAUUGUAAACUCCUGUUGUUGAGGAAGAUAAUGACGGUACUCAACAAGGAAGUGACGGCUAACUACGUG
This 434-nucleotide ribosomal RNA is filed under the name uncultured bacterium. Its description in RNAcentral is "bacterial SSU rRNA". It matches the Rfam family "Bacterial small subunit ribosomal RNA", at positions 28 to 507 of the family's 1533-position model. The record is from RNAcentral.